CAAAAGGGCUGUCUGUUGUUUUUAUUCAGAAGGAAAAUGACAGCUGAUGGAGCAGCCUGGAGUGCUUCCUUGGUCUCUGAUAAUCUUAAGAAGUCACUGCUGGAAGUUUUGGAGGAUGUGAGGACAUCCAACUACUUGGAGUUUGCUCAUCAGGUCCAGCAAGGGGAGUCAGAAUGCUCAAUUGUGACUAUAUAAUGUUUAUGAGGACCUAUUGAGUCAAUACAAGGUGGAAGGUGACAACUUCAUGUAUCACAUCAUUACCAGUGAUGAGAUAUGGUGUCACCACUAUGGGCUGGAGUCCAAGCAG
This 307-nucleotide long non-coding RNA is filed under the name Gallus gallus (chicken). Its description in RNAcentral is "lncRNA (ENSGALG00010006314.1)". Lineage: Eukaryota; Metazoa; Chordata; Aves; Galliformes; Phasianidae. The record is from RNAcentral.